UGAUAUUAAAUAUAAUUUUGGUGAUUUCAUACCCCCCUUUAAGGUUGGAAGUACAAGCAGAUGUACAGAAAGAACGGUACAGUCUAAGUGGAGAAUCUGGCACAGUCAGCUUGGGAACAGUUAGUGAUAAUGCCAGCACCAAAGCAAUGGCAGGAUCCAUUCUGAAUUCCUACAUCCCAUUGGACAAAGAAGGCAACAGUAUGGAGGUGCAAGUAGAUAUUGAGUCAAAGCCAUCCAAAUUCAGGCACAACAGUGGAAGCAGUAGUGUGGAUGAUGGCAGUGCCACCCGAAGUCAUGCUGGCGGUUCAUCCAGUGGCUUGCCUGAAGGUAAAUCUAGUGCCACCAAGUGGUCCAAAGAAGCAACAGCAGGGAAAAAAUCAAAAAGUGGUAAACUGAGGAAAAAGGGUAACAUGAAGAUAAAUGAGACGAGAGAGGACAUGGAUGCACAGUUGUUAGAACAACAAAGCACGAACUCAAGUGAAUUUGAGGCUCCAUCCCUCAGUGACAGUAUGCCUUCUGUAGCAGAUUCCCACUCUAGUCAUUUUUCUG
This 549-nucleotide small RNA is filed under the name Pan troglodytes (chimpanzee). RNAcentral's name for it is "retained intron". Lineage: Eukaryota; Metazoa; Chordata; Mammalia; Primates; Hominidae. The record is from RNAcentral.